UACGUAGGGUGCAAGCGUUGUUCGGAAUCAUUGGGCGUAAAGCGCGUGUAGGCUGUUAGUUAAGUCGGGUGUGAAAUCCCUGGGCUCAACCGAGGAAGUGCAUCCGAAACUAAUUAGCUAGAGAGUGGUAGAGGAAGGUGGAAUUCCGAGUGUAGAGGUGAAAUUCGUAGAUAUUCGGAAGAACACCAGUGGCGAAGGCGGCUCACUGGCCCGUUACCGACGCUCAGGCGCGACAGCGUGGGGAGCAAACAGG
Molecule: ribosomal RNA, 253 nt
Filed under: uncultured bacterium
Lineage: Bacteria
Description: partial 16S ribosomal RNA
Rfam family: Bacterial small subunit ribosomal RNA
Source: RNAcentral